AGCUUUGUGCGAUGGCAAUAUCGUAGCCAAUGAGGUUUAUCUGAGGUGUGAUUGUUGCUAAUUGG
This 65-nucleotide small nuclear RNA is filed under the name Papio anubis (olive baboon). RNAcentral's name for it is "U4 spliceosomal RNA". It matches the Rfam family "U4 spliceosomal RNA", at positions 1 to 65 of the family's 138-position model. Rfam says of the family: U4 small nuclear RNA (U4 snRNA) is a component of the major U2-dependent spliceosome. The structure of U4 snRNA from yeast and human has been reported. The record is from Rfam by way of RNAcentral. RNAcentral also lists the same sequence under 1 other name. Lineage: Eukaryota; Metazoa; Chordata; Mammalia; Primates; Cercopithecidae.